ACUGCCUGAGGCUGUUGGAGCAGAGAGCUAUGAGAUAGAACACACAGGCAUAUAUUUUCUUUUAAUUUUUUAUGUACUUAUUUAUUUAUUUUGAGAUGGAGUCUCACUGUGUCACCAGGCUGGAGUGCAGUGGUGGGAUCUCAGCUCACUGCAACCUCCACCUCCCCGGUUCAAGCAAUUCUCCUGCCUCAGCCUCCCAAGUAAUUGGGACUACAGGAGCACGCCACCACGCCCAGCUAAUUUUUGUAUUUUUAGUAGAGACGGUGUUUUACCAUGUUGGCCAGGAUGGUCUCAAUCUCUUGACCUUGUGAUCUGCUCGCCUUGGCCUCCCAAAGUGCUGGGAUUACAGGCAUGAGCCACCACGCCCAGCCACACAGGCAUAUAUUUUAACUGUGCUGUCCAACUGGGUUUUAACAUGUAGAAUCUAUGGCAAGUUGCUUUUGCUCAGUAAGGGUGCUGUGACUCUUUUUGUCCUGGGAUUCAAGUGAUAAGCAGAUUUGAAGGUCAUAAGUGACAGCAGACAGGAUGGUCAUCUUAUUUCCUCUGCUUUCUCCCUGGAGAGGGGCCAGAGGACUCCAAAGAAAAGAGAGAUGGGAAUGGAAACAAACGAAUCCCAGCAGGGGAGCAGGGAGGAGAGACGAAACGGCAGCCGACUUGAGAGCUCAGCUGCCAGCCAAAAUCUGAUGCUCUGCAUUGCUCUGCAUAAAGGAGCCCAGGCUUCCCAAAUCCAGGCGCCCCAACAUGAUUGCAAAAGCCACACCCAUCAGCCCACAGAAAGCCAACACUGCUGCAGAACCAGUGAGACACCUUGGGAGGCUGCCCGAGUUUCUGGAGAUAUCUGUGUAAAAGCUGCUUUCCUCCCUGGUGGAUGCUUGAACCCCAGCAAGUGGUGGCGGACGGGACCCAGAGCUGCCAUACCAAGAUGGAAAAAAAAAUUUUUAAGGAAAAGUUAAUUUCAAGAAUUAUGUUCUCAGUUUUGUUGUAGGGCUAGUUGCCAAUUCCUUUUCCCACUGGCAGCAGGCAGGGCUGACUGAGCCAGCACACAGAGGCUUCUCAAUGAGCUUUGAUGUCAACAAAGGUAGGCAGGGCAGGCCCCGGUGGAAAAUUGUGAAGUCAGCAGAGUUAUCUCCGGCACUCCUCCCUUCCCCUUGCUUCCCCUUUCUCCGCCCAUUUCCCCCUCUCUCGGCUUCCAGCUUCUCAUUUCCCAGGGGACCCUGUAAUGGUCUGGUCCAGCAACAGAGAAGUAUGACAGGUAAUU
This 1258-nucleotide long non-coding RNA is filed under the name Homo sapiens (human). RNAcentral's name for it is "HSALNT0302008". Lineage: Eukaryota; Metazoa; Chordata; Mammalia; Primates; Hominidae. The record is from RNAcentral.